This 1483-nucleotide ribosomal RNA is filed under the name Lactiplantibacillus plantarum. Its description in RNAcentral is "bacterial SSU rRNA". It matches the Rfam family "Bacterial small subunit ribosomal RNA". Lineage: Bacteria; Bacillati; Bacillota; Bacilli; Lactobacillales; Lactobacillaceae. The record is from RNAcentral.
GAACGCUGGCGGCGUGCCUAAUACAUGCAAGUCGAACGAACUCUGGUAUUGAUUGGUGCUUGCAUCAUGAUUUACAUUUGAGUGAGUGGCGAACUGGUGAGUAACACGUGGGAAACCUGCCCAGAAGCGGGGGAUAACACCUGGAAACAGAUGCUAAUACCGCAUAACAACUUGGACCGCAUGGUCCGAGUUUGAAAGAUGGCUUCGGCUAUCACUUUUGGAUGGUCCCGCGGCGUAUUAGCUAGAUGGUGGGGUAACGGCUCACCAUGGCAAUGAUACGUAGCCGACCUGAGAGGGUAAUCGGCCACAUUGGGACUGAGACACGGCCCAAACUCCUACGGGAGGCAGCAGUAGGGAAUCUUCCACAAUGGACGAAAGUCUGAUGGAGCAACGCCGCGUGAGUGAAGAAGGGUUUCGGCUCGUAAAACUCUGUUGUUAAAGAAGAACAUAUCUGAGAGUAACUGUUCAGGUAUUGACGGUAUUUAACCAGAAAGCCACGGCUAACUACGUGCCAGCAGCCGCGGUAAUACGUAGGUGGCAAGCGUUGUCCGGAUUUAUUGGGCGUAAAGCGAGCGCAGGCGGUUUUUUAAGUCUGAUGUGAAAGCCUUCGGCUCAACCGAAGAAGUGCAUCGGAAACUGGGAAACUUGAGUGCAGAAGAGGACAGUGGAACUCCAUGUGUAGCGGUGAAAUGCGUAGAUAUAUGGAAGAACACCAGUGGCGAAGGCGGCUGUCUGGUCUGUAACUGACGCUGAGGCUCGAAAGUAUGGGUAGCAAACAGGAUUAGAUACCCUGGUAGUCCAUACCGUAAACGAUGAAUGCUAAGUGUUGGAGGGUUUCCGCCCUUCAGUGCUGCAGCUAACGCAUUAAGCAUUCCGCCUGGGGAGUACGGCCGCAAGGCUGAAACUCAAAGGAAUUGACGGGGGCCCGCACAAGCGGUGGAGCAUGUGGUUUAAUUCGAAGCUACGCGAAGAACCUUACCAGGUCUUGACAUACUAUGCAAAUCUAAGAGAUUAGACGUUCCCUUCGGGGACAUGGAUACAGGUGGUGCAUGGUUGUCGUCAGCUCGUGUCGUGAGAUGUUGGGUUAAGUCCCGCAACGAGCGCAACCCUUAUUAUCAGUUGCCAGCAUUAAGUUGGGCACUCUGGUGAGACUGCCGGUGACAAACCGGAGGAAGGUGGGGAUGACGUCAAAUCAUCAUGCCCCUUAUGACCUGGGCUACACACGUGCUACAAUGGAUGGUACAACGAGUUGCGAACUCGCGAGAGUAAGCUAAUCUCUUAAAGCCAUUCUCAGUUCGGAUUGUAGGCUGCAACUCGCCUACAUGAAGUCGGAAUCGCUAGUAAUCGCGGAUCAGCAUGCCGCGGUGAAUACGUUCCCGGGCCUUGUACACACCGCCCGUCACACCAUGAGAGUUUGUAACACCCAAAGUCGGUGGGGUAACCUUUUAGGAACCAGCCGCCUAAGGUGGGACAGAUGAUUAGG